This 84-nucleotide ribosomal RNA is filed under the name uncultured fungus. Its description in RNAcentral is "partial 5.8S ribosomal RNA". It matches the Rfam family "5.8S ribosomal RNA", at positions 74 to 154 of the family's 154-position model. From Rfam's summary of the family: 5.8S ribosomal RNA (5.8S rRNA) is a component of the large subunit of the eukaryotic ribosome. It is transcribed by RNA polymerase I as part of the 45S precursor that also contains 18S and 28S rRNA. Functionally, it is thought that 5.8S rRNA may be involved in ribosome translocation. The record is from RNAcentral. Lineage: Eukaryota; Fungi.
GCAGAAUUCAGUGAAUCAUCGAAUCUUUGAACGCACCUUGCACCCUUUGGUAUCCCCAAAGGGUAUGCUCGUUUGAGUGUCAUU